Molecule: ribosomal RNA, 502 nt
Filed under: uncultured bacterium
Lineage: Bacteria
Description: bacterial SSU rRNA
Rfam family: Bacterial small subunit ribosomal RNA
Source: RNAcentral
UCGAACGCGAAAGGGGCUUCGGCCCUGAGUAGAGUGGCAAACGGGUGAGUAAUACGUGGGUGACCUGCCUUCGAGUGGGGGAUAACGUCCCGAAAGGGACGCUAAUACCGCAUGACAUCCUGCUCUUGGACGAGCGGAGAUCAAAGCUGGGGAUCGCAAGACCUGGCGCUUGAAGAGGGGCCCGCGCCUGAUUAGCUAGUUGGUGGGGUAAUGGCCUACCAAGGCAACGAUCAGUAUCCGGCCUGAGAGGGCGGACGGACACACUGGGACUGAGACACGGCCCAGACUCCUACGGGAGGCAGCAGUGGGGAAUUGUUCGCAAUGGGCGCAAGCCUGACGACGCAACGCCGCGUGGAGGAUGAAGAUCUUCGGGUCGUAAACUCCUGUCGAGCGGGACGAACACCUGUCGGUUGAAUACACCGGCAGGCUGACGGUACCGCUAAAGGAAGCCCCGGCUAACUCCGUGCCAGCAGCCGCGGUAAUACGGGGGGGGCAAGCGUUG